AGCGCAGGCGGGAGUGUAAGUCGGUCUUAAAAGAUCGGGGCUCAACCCCGGCAGGGGAUCGAAACUAUACUUCUUGAGUGCAGGAGAGGAAAGCGGAAUUCCCAGUGUAGCGGUGAAAUGCGUAGAUAUUGGGAGGAACACCAGUGGCGAAGGCGGCUUUCUGGACUGCAACUGACGCUGAGGCUCGAAAGCCAGGGGAGCGAACG
Molecule: ribosomal RNA, 206 nt
Filed under: uncultured bacterium
Lineage: Bacteria
Description: partial 16S ribosomal RNA
Rfam family: Bacterial small subunit ribosomal RNA
Source: RNAcentral